GACGAACGCUGGCGGCGUGCUUAACACAUGCAAGUCAACGGGGUGUUAUUUCGGUAAACACCAAGUGGCGAACGGGUGAGUAACGCGUAAGCAAUCUACCUUCAAGAUGGGGACAACACUUCGAAAGGGGUGCUAAUACCGAAUGAAUGUAAGAGUAUCGCAUGAGACACUUACUAAAGGAGGCCUCUGAAAAUGCUUCCGCUUGAAGAUGAGCUUGCGUCUGAUUAGCUAGUUGGUGAGGGUAAAAGGCCCACCAAGGCGACGAUCAGUAGCCGGUCUGAGAGGAUGAACGGCCACAUUGGGACUGAGACACGGCCCAGACUCCUACGGGAGGCAGCAGUGGGGAAUAUUGCACAAUGGGGGAAACCCUGAUGCAGCGACGCCGCGUGGAGGAAGAAGGUCUUCGGAUUGUAAACUCCUGUUGUUGAGGAAGAUAAUGACGGUACUCAACAAGGAAGUGACGGCUAACUACGUG
This 475-nucleotide ribosomal RNA is filed under the name uncultured bacterium. RNAcentral describes it as "bacterial SSU rRNA". It matches the Rfam family "Bacterial small subunit ribosomal RNA", at positions 28 to 507 of the family's 1533-position model. The record is from RNAcentral.